CAGUAGCCGCGGGAAUACGAAGGGUGCAAGCGUUACUCGGAAUUACUGGGCGUAAAGCGUGCGUAGGUGGUGGUUUAAGUCCGUUGUGAAAGCCCUGGGCUCAACCUGGGAAUUGCAGUGGAUACUGGGUCACUAGAGUGUGGUAGAGGAUAGUGGAAUUUCCGGUGUAGCAGUGAAAUGCGUAGAGAUUGGAAGGAACAUCUGUGGCGAAGGCGACUAUCUGGGCCAACACUGACACUGAGGCACGAAAGCGUGGGGAGCAAACAGGAUUAGAUACCCCUGUAGUCCCUGUCUCUUAUAC
This 301-nucleotide ribosomal RNA is filed under the name uncultured bacterium. RNAcentral describes it as "partial 16S ribosomal RNA". It matches the Rfam family "Bacterial small subunit ribosomal RNA", at positions 509 to 807 of the family's 1533-position model. The record is from RNAcentral.